UCUUUCUCUCUGUUAGUUUCUAAGGUGUUACUAGACCCUCUUGCUUACUGUUCCAAACUAACACAGCUACAUUUUUUAAUUCAAGAUUUCUGGCACCCAAAAACAUUUUUUUCAUGCAUAUUUAUCUUUACUAUANAUAGAAAAGCAGAACAGAAGUAUAUAAUUUUAAAAGGAGGUGCUGCCUAGGAUAACUACUCUAUGCAAAUUUUCCGCAUGAGAACAGGAGGUGUUGGACAACCUCUUCACCCUCAAAAGAAAUGAGUAAAACCCUCCCCAUCCCCCUUUCCACCCAGAGAGAUGCAUACACAAACAGGAGGAUGGGAACUGGGCGAGGGGAGAAAGUUUCUGAAGGUCUCAGAAAGUGAGUUUCUUGGUAAAACAAACGGACAAGGAAAUAAUGUUAAAAUCAGGCAUGACUGAGGAUGUUGGCAGAGGAAGCCCCUUUAUGAACUACAGAGAACGAUGGGAGGGGGGCGGCGUUAUCCAAAGUGAACAGUGCAAUGAUGGACAAGAACAAAAAGUGCACACAAACACGCCUAAAAAGUUUUGCCUUUUCCACACCUUGUUUGGUGGCAAUCUGAACAUGCAAGCGACAGGCGACCAUGGGGGUAAAGAGAGCAUCGUAGCCAAGAUGUGAGGGCGGUAUAGGGGGCGAAUGGAAAUACACACAGAGAUCCUGCGGGAAGAAGAGGAAGGAUGGCUGACUGAAACAGGGUUUCUCCAUCCCGGCUGCAGCGCAGGAAGGAGACACAAAGGGCCAGAGAGAGGCUGCAAGGGACCUAAGGACGGGGAGCAGGAAAAGGGAAAUUCCCCCUCACUUUCUGAUGCUGCAGGCUAUGGACCAGACAAGUUAGAUUCUUCCUUGUUUCUCUUGGAAGAAAUUUGCAAAGCUACUGCUCUAAAAAACAAAACCUAAAACACAUAUUUGGGGAUGACUUGAUUACAGACUUAUACUUAUUUUUUUCUCUAGUUUCUGCUACAAAAUGAUGGGGGGGGGUGUCAUAAACUAUUAAACACACCCAUGGGCAGAUUCUACCUUUGGGUUCAAACCAUUUGCCCCAUGGCUAGUUCAGGUUCAUUAUUAAAUGACCUGGCCAUUUUGUGUUCAUGCACGUGCCUGAGGUCAGAUAGUCCAUGCUAUUCUGAUCUGACUUUCAAUAAGAAAAUACAAUCUUUGCCACAGUGGAGAUUCCAUCCUGCUACCUCUGUCCACCCAGAAGAAAUGGAAUUUUUAUAAACAUGCAUGUUUCAGAAAAGCAUGCAUGGUUCACUGCACAAAUGAUAAGAUGAUCUCAGCUUAUCCUUUUAAAAUGUAUUAGACUGCUGAUAACAUGUUAUUUACUUUGGGUAAUGUUUAUUUAUUUAUUAUCCACCCUUGUGUAAUAAACCAAGCAA
This 1395-nucleotide long non-coding RNA is filed under the name Salvator merianae (Argentine black and white tegu). RNAcentral's name for it is "lncRNA (ENSSMRG00000009258.1)". The record is from RNAcentral. Lineage: Eukaryota; Metazoa; Chordata; Lepidosauria; Squamata; Teiidae.